GAUAGGUGGGAGGCUUUGAAGUGUGGACGCCAGUCUGCAUGGAGCCGACCUUGAAAUACCACCCUUUAAUGUUUGAUGUUCUAACGUGGACCCGUAAUCCGGGUUGCGGACAGUGUCUGGUGGGUAGUUUGACUGGGGCGGUCUCCUCCUAAAGAGUAACGGAGGAGCACGAAGGUUGGCUAAUCCUGGUCGGACAUCAGGAGGUUAGUGCAAUGGCAUAAGCCAGCUUGACUGCGAGCGUGACGGCGCGAGCAGGUGCGAAAGCAGGUCAUAGUGAUCCGGUGGUUCUGAAUGGAAGGGCCAUCGCUCAACGGAUAAAAGGUACUCCGGGGAUAACAGGCUGAUACCGCCCAAGAGUUCAUAUCGACGGCGGUGUUUGGCACCUCGAUGUCGGCUCAUCACAUCCUGGGGCUGAAGUAGGUCCCAAGGGUAUGGCUGUUCGCCAUUUAAAGUGGUACGCGAGCUGGGUUUAGAACGUCGUGAGACAGUUCGGUCCCUAUCUGCCGUGGGCGCUGGAGAACUGAGGGGGGCUGCUCCUAGUACGAGAGGACCGGAGUGGACGCAUCACUGGUGUUCGGGUUGUCAUGCCAAUGGCACUGCCCGGUAGCUAAAUGCGGAAGAGAUAAGUGCUGAAAGCAUCUAAGCACGAAACUUGCCCCGA
RNAcentral lists this ribosomal RNA (661 nucleotides) under Salmonella enterica subsp. enterica serovar Senftenberg. Its description in RNAcentral is "partial 23S ribosomal RNA". It matches the Rfam family "Bacterial large subunit ribosomal RNA", at positions 2142 to 2802 of the family's 2925-position model. Lineage: Bacteria; Pseudomonadati; Pseudomonadota; Gammaproteobacteria; Enterobacterales; Enterobacteriaceae. RNAcentral also lists the same sequence under 3 other names. The record is from RNAcentral.